Molecule: long non-coding RNA, 414 nt
Organism: Mustela erminea (ermine)
Lineage: Eukaryota; Metazoa; Chordata; Mammalia; Carnivora; Mustelidae
Exons: 4
Source: RefSeq, a predicted model, not a curated record
CAUGAACUAUAAACCAAAAAAGCUCAGGGGGGAAAAAUCUGUGCUCUGAUGUGAAACCCUUCGGCCGACUCCAGCAUAUGCAGGAAAGCCGGCCGGAGCUCCAGACUGUUUAAAACGAUGUUUGAUCCAAUCCAGUUGAAAAAGAUAUUUUAGUAAAUACCUGAACUCACUCACUUCUGCAAAGAUUGGCUUCGGCUGUGAGUUCCCCAGGAGGACCCUUGGAGAAGCCAGGAGAUGCCCGAAGGCCACGUAAAUUCUGUCCCCACUGUCCUCCAUCCGCUGAAUACAGACACGGUCAUGGUCGUUCCAACAGUGGCUUCUUGUGAUCUCAGGAGGAAGGACCUUGGCAGAGGCUGCUCCUUUGAGAGGUUUUGCGAAGCUUAAAAGAGGAUCCAGCUUCCAGCCCAGAACCUG